AAUCCAUGCAUCGGACAUUUUUGAAGUAAUUCUUUAAAUUGUUCCCAAGCUUCAUAUAGCGUUUCAUCCUCCGAUUGCCAAAAAAAUAUGAUGUCAUUUGUAACAGC
Gossypium hirsutum (cotton) is the source of this 107-nucleotide non-coding RNA. The record is from Rfam. Lineage: Eukaryota; Viridiplantae; Streptophyta; Magnoliopsida; Malvales; Malvaceae.